RNAcentral lists this ribosomal RNA (347 nucleotides) under uncultured soil bacterium. RNAcentral's name for it is "bacterial SSU rRNA". It matches the Rfam family "Bacterial small subunit ribosomal RNA", at positions 27 to 375 of the family's 1533-position model. The record is from RNAcentral.
GGAGUGAACGCUGGCGGCAGGCCUAACACAUGCAAGUCGAACGGCAGCGGGCAGUAGCAAUACUGUGCCGGCGAGUGGCGGACGGGUGAGGAAUACAUCGGAAUCUACCUUGUCGUGGGGGAUAACGUAGGGAAACUUACGCUAAUACCGCAUACGAACCAUGGUUGAAAGCGGCGGACCGCAAGGCGUCGCGCGAUUGGAUGAGCCGAUGUCCGAUUAGCUAGUUGGCGGGGUAAAGGCCCACCAAGGCGACGAUCGGUAGCUGGUCUGAGAGGAUGAUCAGCCACACUGGAACUGAGACACGGUCCAGACUCCUAGGGAGCAGCAGUGGGAAUAUGGACAAUGGA